Long non-coding RNA from Magnolia sinica, 2655 nucleotides. RefSeq lists it as uncharacterized. The record is from RefSeq and is a predicted model, not a curated record. NCBI's taxonomy places the organism in Eukaryota, Viridiplantae, Streptophyta, Magnoliopsida, Magnoliales, Magnoliaceae. The transcript has 6 exons.
AGUGGUGCCCCCUACAUUUAGGCCCCGCCUAGAUGUCCAUUUUCCAGAACCAUUUUAGAUUUGUAAAGUACUAGAAGGUUUUGGAGUCUUCAUAGAAAUUGUAUGAUCCUCCAGUCUUCUUUUUUUUUUUGUUAGUGGGCUACUGUUUAAUCUUGUCCAUUGAUGGAAUGUGAGCUAUGUAGUUUGUACCAUAUGCUACUUUGUGUGUAGUAUCUACUACAUGUGACUUAAAGCUAUUUUAAUGAGCUACGUAGGUUGAAGGUAGUGUAAGCUAUUUAAGAUACUGGCUGAAACUUCUCAUCUGGCCUACUUUUUUGUUUCUUCUAAAGGCUUUAUCAUUGUCAUUGUGGUGCUAGCAAAGCAUGAGUCUUAUUUUUGUUAAUUUCAUCUUUUGAAUACAGCAAUAGCAUUUCUUCAGCAAUGUGGGUGUUAUUUUCUCUUGUUAUAAUGUUUUAUGGAGGCUUGCUAAUUAUUAUAAUGAAUGCCUACCAUUCCAUGCCCCUCCGAACUGUAUUUGCCAAGCUGUCUAAUGUGUCAAGCAUCCAAGCUGUCUAUCCUCACUGUUUAGAGUGGAAUGUUAGAACAAUAUUCAUAUAGCCAACCACAAUUAACUGGGUUAAGGCUAAGAAGAAGUAGACAAUGAUGAUCUUGUAUUUCUAUCUUUUGUGUGUGUGUGUGUGUGUGUGUGUGUGUGUGUGUUUUUUUUUUGAUUGAUUUGUCUGAAAUGCAAGUAUAUGAUGUGCAAAGAUGUAGAGAGUGCAAAUGUAAUAGUGACUGCUGGACAUGAAGGACUAAGAUUUUGGGACAUACGUUCAUUGGAAUAAGCGAUGCUUGUUGGUUUGUUAAACACAUGAUAGCAAUCCACAUGUUUGUGAUGUAGGUUGAGGUAUUAUGUUUCUUUUCUUUUUCUCUCUUUUUUAUUUAAUAAUGCAAGUUUCUAUUUGGAUGUACCCUGAGGCCUGCAGAACACUUGCAAUAUUGAUUCAGGAGAUGGAUACUAAUCAUCAACUGCCCAUUGUUCGAGGCAUUGAGAGAAACAGGAAACAUUUCAUGUUCGCCUCUAUUUCGAGGUUCCUUUUUGGUAGGACUUGAAAAUUUAAAUGGAUGGAUAAUUAAGGUGGAAACAAAUGAAGCAUGCUCAGUUCCUCCAACCAAGGGACAUCCAAUAUGCUAGAAGAGGGUUUAAUCUAUGGCUUGAAUGAACUUAGUUAGCAUGGGAUGCUUAGAAGCAUGGAAUGAACUGUAAGGUCCUGAUUUGUUUUGCUGCUACUCAGCGGUUUGAGUAGUUUUGUUCUAUGAUUUAAGUGUUAAUCACAGUCAGUUUCAGAGCAAUAUUGGUAGCUGAUUUUUGUUUUGCUGCUACUCAGCGGUUAAUUGAUUAUAUAGCUUCAUGGUUGUUUGAGUAGUUUUGUUCUAUGAUUAACUCAUUUGAACAUUCUGGAUUUAUAGUUUUAAAGGUUAAUUGAUUUGUGAUGUGCAUUUGUUUAUUCAUGUUUAGGAAUGACUUUUUAUUGCAGAACAAAAAUACUAUUCAAAACUAGAUAGCGACAUGAACUUGUUGGGGUUAUGAUUCUAUAUGAUGACUUCAUGCUAUCAAUCUUUCUUUUGCCAUUGCCAACUUCGCAAUUGUUGAGUUUUCAUCAUUUUAUAUCGAGACUAAUACUCCAGUCAUUCAUAUCUGAGUUAGUAAUGUUCCAUCAGUUUCUGUUCUUCAUUGAAAUGCAAAUGUUUGUGUAAGAGAAACAAGAAGUUGUCAUUGAAAAGGUUGUUCGAAAUAAACACAAAUGUGUCACAAUUGUGAAAGGCCUUGAACUCUUUGGUAUUUGCACUUGACAUUCUUACCUCCUAUUGCACAUGGUAUCAUAAAGGCCGAGGCCCCUCACUUACAUUAAGGUUCUUCUAAAGACAUGAAAUGUGCUCGUUCUAAACGCACGACUAGGCUACCGAUAAGCCUUAUGACUGGUGGCAUCAAUCAGCCUUAGCUACCCGAGACUGAUGUGAGUCCCUCUCAGCCUUAGUUGCCCCAGCCUAUAGCGGGUCCCUCCCAGCAUCAGCCUUUCUCGGCUACAUUGGGUCCAGUCCAGUCUUUGUUGCCCGAGUCUACAGCGGGUCCUUCUCAUCCCCAGCUUCCCCCACCUAUGGCAGGUCUCUCCCAAAGUUUGCCUCAGGAUCCACACCAGACAGUUGAUUCAUUAGAGGAUACUUCUAGUGAUUUGUUGUUCACGAAGAGAAGGAGUCGAGGCCCCACACGAUGCCAUCAAGUUUGGAACAUGCAUGAAGGGCAAUGCAUUUUUAUUACCACCAACAAUCUAGGGCAACCCGUUAAUGAAAAUGUUAGCAAGCUGACAAACUUUUUGGGGACAAUAGCACGUAAUGGGGAUUACGCACCCCUUACAUAUUCUAAUUGGAGGGUAGUGCCAAACGAGAAGAAGGAUGAUAUGUACGAACUUGUCAUGUCCAAGUUUCAAUUUGACAAAGAGAUUAAAUCUUAGGUGUUGAUGUCAAUUGGAAAAAAAUGGAGGGACUGGAAGUGCGAACUGAAGAAAUUCCACUACUCGCCUCAUGAUAAUGAUGAGGCGCGGCUAGCAGACCUCAAUGAGCGUGUCCAAAUGGAUCAGUGGAAGGCCCUCAUUAAGUUUUGGAACUCUGAAGAGG